This is a long non-coding RNA of Numida meleagris (helmeted guineafowl), 1057 nucleotides long. RefSeq lists it as uncharacterized. Lineage: Eukaryota; Metazoa; Chordata; Aves; Galliformes; Numididae. The record is from RefSeq and is a predicted model, not a curated record. The transcript is spliced from 3 exons.
UUCUGAACAUCUUUUGGCCCUAUACUGUUAUGGCCAGAUUCUCAUCAAGUUUUGAUCCAUUCUAUUGAACGGUACCUACUUCCAGUCAUCCUUUGGGCUUGGAGAGAAUUGUAUUAACAGGAUUGUUUGUGGAACAGGACUUGGAAACUGUGUUUUUCAUUUUUUUUUUAUCUCUCUGCAAUCCUUUGUGGAUCACACUUUUUUCCAGAUGACUUCUAAUUAUUUUGGUGAGACUACAGUUCUAGUGAAUGAAGGACUAUGCAAUUAAAGUUAUUAUUUGGUGGUGUGUUCUCAGCAGCCAAGCAUGGCAUCCCAGGAUGGCCAGCACCACAGCUGCAUCGGUGCCUUUCUGUACCUUUAUGAUGUAUAACCUCUGGAGUUCUCUCAGCACCAGUACCUAGAAGAAAUGAGACAAUCCUCUGUGUUCGUGAGUUCUGCACUGCUGACUGUCUCCCAGUGUGCUGACAAACCCAAGUGAUUAUCUUCUGCACUUGAUGACUGUCCCUCAUUCACCUGUCUCAGCACCAGAGGACAGGAAUGAUCAGGUCCAGUCAACCACGAAGGAGAACGCACUCGCAAGUGUAAGGCUGAACUGUUGCUGCCUCCAGCUGGCAUUCAGCUCACAAGCUGGACAAACAUGGCCUACAGCUACAACUGUAAACACACAGGGAGAAGUUCUCCACCCAUUGCCAAGUACUUUUAUGGCUCAGAACCGGUCUUCAUGGGAGAAGUUGGACGUGCACUGCCAGCAUGAUCAUCUGGAAUGGAGUACAAAGGAGAAAAGCUUUCUUGAUAACGUUGCUAUGUAUAUCAUCAUAAGGGAUCUGCAGUGACUGGAAGGAUCCGCACGCAGGUCUGGAUUCCUUUGCUCUGCAGUGAAAGAACAGCAGAACAAGCAUUACCUUUUCAUGGCUUCUAUACACUGGGAACUCCAAGCCCAAGGAACCAACAGUGAUGCUGGUGCAUCAAUAAAGAAAACACCUUUUUGGAAAUGUAUGUGCUGUCCUCCAUAUAAAAGUGGCCCAGCUUGCCUAGCAUGGGUGUUUCUUGCUUGUUU